This is a long non-coding RNA of Girardinichthys multiradiatus, 1801 nucleotides long. RefSeq lists it as uncharacterized. The record is from RefSeq and is a predicted model, not a curated record. NCBI's taxonomy places the organism in Eukaryota, Metazoa, Chordata, Actinopteri, Cyprinodontiformes, Goodeidae. The transcript is spliced from 4 exons.
UUUAAGCAUGUCUUUCUCAGGUGGGGCUGCAGACAGGUUCGUACAAUUGUUUUAUACGGUAGGAGCAUCAUAAUCACUGUCAUAGACUUUAAUUACACAUCAAUAAUAAUGAUUUUCUACAGUUGUAGGUGGAUGUUUAUAACCAGUUAUAAUGAAACAUCGCAAAUUGACUACAUAAGCAGAAGUGUUCACUUGUCCUCAUAAAAUUUAUCCAACACUUGCACUCUGAGGUGCAGUUAGGUUUAACCUUUGACUGCAUUUUGUAGCAACUAUCUCUUCAUCCCAAAGUUCCUCACGGCUUUAAACUCUCCUCUUCCUUGUUCUCAAAUGCUCUCCUCUCUCUCUUUGUCACUAUCUCUAUCUAUCUGUCUUUGUGUAAGCAGCGUUGCAUCGGCUUAGGAUCUACUCCCACUCCUGGUGAAUAAUACUCUGUUGCAGUUUUUCCAGAUUCCCUGUCUGAUGCUCACUUGACAAUAACCCUUCCAUCAGUUCCUGAAGGCGGAGACAUUCCAUGAUGUCAUGCCUUUGGAUGUGUUUGAGUCUGCUGUAUCUCCUACAACACAGUGUUUCAUCAGACCAAGCAGUGUCACUCAUUUGCCCCAAGAACUUGGAAGUCAGUUAUGGAGAAACAGUGACAGUGAACUGUUCAAUUGAAUGGAACAAAAACUGCAUUGGUACAGAAUUCAUCUGGAAAUACCGAGAUGACAUCAUUGAAUGUAAAAACGCCUCAACCAAGUACAUCUGUGACUGGGAUCGUCGCUCUUAUGUGUUCCUGGACAUCUUUGAUGUCAACAACAAUACAAGUGUCUCCGUUGAAAUUGGGUCAAAUUGUGGUUUGGAUGUUUCUCCUUUUAUCACAGUGAAUGUUAGUGGGAUGGUGGUCGAACCUGAUAGGAGCUAUAAGGAGGAGACCCGGUCAAAUCUGAUUCUCGGUGCACUGGCUGUUGUUGCUGCCAUCAUUGUUGUGGCCAUUUUGUCUUUUCUAAUUAAAAAUUGCAUAUCUCGGAAAUUCACUCACACUGGAGUGAACCAAAAUGGUAGUAUUUAAGACGGUUGCUGACAUCUCCAAAAGAAAUGCAAGAAAGGUUUUGUUCUUUCUUUCUUACAGAACUCUUUUGAACCAGCACAGCUUUUGGUCAGACAAUGCUGGUAUGUCCACUGAUCUGAAACCUGGACUGUAUACCCCUUUAAAUUCGCAUGCUUAUGCUGCUGCUGGUGGCAGCUCUGUGUAUGUACAGACUUUUUAGCCAGUGAGUGAGUUCUGCCUUGUUCUGCUCUGAUCAAGUCUAACACAGGGCAAUAAGGCCGGAGCUUGAAGUAAUAAUGAUUCGUAUAUACAUACUGCAUUUGUUGUAAAUGAAAGUUUUUUCUCACAAUACUGAUUUUUUAUUCUAUGAAUUUGGCUACAUCUUACUCUCAGCAAAUGUAUGGUGUACAAUGAAACAAAAUUACAUUAACCUUGUGUGGAGAAUAUUCAUGAAGUAGAGUCUUCAUUUGGAUGUAGGAGGUCAAACAGCAAUUGGCAGUGGAGCAUCACUUGGCACAUCUCUUGACACCCAAGCAAUAAGAAAUCAGGGUAACACCUUGGCCAGCAGUAAUGUCCACACACCAGUCUGCAUUCGGUCUUCAUUGUAACCAGUGUUACGUAAGUUGAUUUAAAAAUGUAACUGGUUAUAUUUAGAAGUUACUGAAAUUGAAGUGUAAUAGUAGUUUAGUCGGGCUCGCCUCCACGCACAGCGUGGGCUCUGGAACCCAUCUCCUUGAGAGGGGUUGGACUCUCUUCUACUCUGGAGUGGCCCAC